UUGCAGGAAGACCUGAGGAAACCAUUUUGCUGGGCUGAUUUUGUGAGAAAAAAUGAAAGAGCACUUUCUCUUUGGGCUGACAUUGCUGAAAAGUCGCAAAUCAAGCAGGAUGGGCCUCUAUGUGACAUAAUGCUGGAAAAAAUUCCUGUAAAACGCAGGAAGUGCGAGGAUGAAACAGAAAAGCUUGUUGGAAAUGUGGAAGAUGCAAUCGCGAAGUUAAUGCAGAUGGACAACUUGGGUCCUAUGCAGCCACGGCUGCAUCACAUUCAACAACAACUGAAGGAAAUUCUUGACAAUCUGUAAAAUAAACGUGCUGAAGUUCACGAGACAAAUAAAUGAGUUUUUAUUCUAA
Molecule: long non-coding RNA, 352 nt
Organism: Rhipicephalus microplus (southern cattle tick)
Lineage: Eukaryota; Metazoa; Arthropoda; Arachnida; Ixodida; Ixodidae
Source: RefSeq, a predicted model, not a curated record